CCCCGCACUGUGUACUCUUGUGGAUAGCUGCUCCCGUUCUCGCUUUUUUCUUUAGCUGCUUGCUUUCUUGCUUUGGUAGGCACUGCGCAGAGUCGAUCUAGUUCAAAGAACCGCCGCGCGGUGCCAGCUGUGACUCCUUUCUUUGUGCGCGCGGCCGUGCUGCUGGUGUGCGCCCCUCGCUAAGCACAGAACAGACCACAACAGCGAAGUACAGGUGCUCUCACGGUCCAUUUGGUUUGUCAUAAUCAAUGAGAAGCGAGCCGAAACCGGCAGAGGCGGCGCCUCCACAGGCCUCGAUAGAGGAGCACGAGCCGGCACCUUCAGCUUUCUCCGAGUCGACUGAUGACGAGGCAGCGCUGCCGCGUAAGAAGCAAAAGAAAGUGAGCAAGGUGACGCAGAAGAUCAGAGUGGUCGACGGCAGCGUUGACGUGCGAGUGCAACACACGAACGACGACAGCGUCGUCAGCAAGCGCUCUGCCGUGGCACACAAGUACAUCCGCGACAAGUUUCUGCGACAUUUUGUAAAGAAGCCGUCACGGCGCUCGCCGCUGGUCAACCGCGGCUACUACCUGCGCAUGGCGGUGAUGACAGAUCUUGUAGUUCGACUCGUCCAGAGCUAUCUGGAAGCCCCGGAGCGACGAGCCGCAGUCUACGAGGGCGCACCGCGCCCUCCGCCUGUUCAGGUUCUCUCCUUGGGAGCUGGCUAUGACACGCUGGCUUUCCGACUCCUGCUAGACUCUGUAGACGUUCUUAAUGUCGAUGGAAAACGACCUGGCGUGCCAGCGUCUUCGUCGUGCCCGUCGCCGUCCACACCCGUUUCCUUUGCCGGAGGGGAGGUGCUUUUCAUAGACGUGGACUUCUCCGCAGUGCUAAAGUCGAAAGCAGCACUCAUGGCUGCCGCCCCUCCGGAGACCUUCCCGGCAGACUGGCAUAUGAUGCCGCAGAGCGAGGAAUGCCCGAUUCGCAGUCCUCACUACGCCGCCGUUGGUGUCGAUCUCCGCAUCGCCUCGGCGGAGCUGCUGCCGCGUCUCCAGCAGCACGGCCCCGCCGGGUUCGCGGCGACGAACCCAACCAUCAUCUAUGCUGAGUGUGUCAUGCAGUACAUGCCGCGUGAGGAUGCGGCGCAGCUGCUCGCGCUCCUCGCCGCAAGUUUCCCAAAUGCCGUCUUCAUGGCGUAUGACCAGGUAUCACCUCUCGACAGUUUCGGCCGUGUCAUGCAACACUCGUUGCGCCAAAAAAGCAGCCCGCUGUUGGGCAUUCACGCUUGCCCGGACGGGGCGCACAUGACGCGCCGUGCAUACGCGGCAGGCAUGCGUCGCGCGUGGUGGGGAAACUUCUACCGCAUCUCGACCUUUUGCUUGUCUGGCGCGGAACUGAAGCGGGUGGAGGCCCUGGAGGACUUUGACGAACUCGAAGAGUGGAGCGAGAUGUGCGAGCACUACGGCGUCACCAUGGCAGUCACGCCCGCGGCGUGGGACUCGGUAGCCACGAACGGCUGUGCUGCCCACACAGCCUUUGUGGAGUACUCGGUUGAUGGUGUGGCAUGCAGCAAGGGUAGUGAGUCUCUGCCACAAAGCGCGGAGCGGUUCAAGGUCGAGCUGCACAACUGGCCUUCGGGGCGCUACGGGUUCGAGGGCUGGGGCAACGGCGGCGUGGCAGUCGAGCCUCUAGCCAACGGUGACCGUCUCCUCGUCUCCUUUGGCGGCUUUGCCGCGGGUAAGCAACACCAGCGCGUCAGUACCGUGUACGUGCACAGUCUGCAAGAGGGGGAGCUGCGUGUCGUUGUCGCCAGCGAGGACAGCGAGGGCACGACGACAGCUGGACCAACUGCCCGCGCAGCGCAUCCCCCACCGUUGGUGUUUCACACCUUCUCUCGCGUGGCCCCGCGCACGUUCCUCGUUUGGGGCGGCCGCACGAAUCCGUCUACGCCGUCCAACGACGCCUUUUUGCUCACUCUCGAUGUGCCGUGCACGGUUGGCCUAGGCACUACCGUUACGGCGCGCUGGAGGGCGCUGAGCGUACACUGUGACAACGGACGCUGGUGCUGCCCAUCCCCUCGCUAUCGCCACAGCAUGGUGAGUCUCGGCAGCACGGGAGAUGAGGCGACACUUCUGCUGGUGGGCGGCAAAGCUGCGGGCGCCAACGCCGCGGCGGCGCUGGAGUGCUUCCGCGUUACUGUGUGCAUGCGCCGCCUCAGCAUCUCCUACGAGGCACUGGACUGCGCCGCGGCGAGCGGCCUUUCGCCGCCUCCGCUGCACUCGGCCGCAGCCACAGCACUCUCGUCCGACACAGUUCUUGUCUCCGGCGGGGUCCUGCUGGGGCAGGAUGCGUGCAAUCCGCAUCUGUGGCAGCUGCGGCUUUCCACGAAGGAGUGGUCCCGCGUGCCGGUGUGGCUUGGUGAAGGCCGCUACUCCCACUCUCUGACUCCCGUCACUGUGAACCACCAGGACUACCUCCUCGUGCUGGGGGGCAGCAGCUGGACGGAGAAAUCCCGCGUGCCGCCAGCUCUGCUAGUCCCACGUUCUCUCCUCAGUAGCAGCACAGGCGGUGAAGCUGCGGCAGCCGUUGCCGUCACGGUGUCGCUCCCAACAGAUGCGCCAUGGUGGUCGCGCCAUUCCUGCGUUGCCCUCGGCGAAGGUGUGGUAGGUGUAGUUGGUGGCGGCUAUACUUGCUUCUCCUUUGGCACCUUCGCCGCAAAGCCGAAGCUGCUCUGCCUCGGUGACGCUGUCGAUGAGAACGCGUGGCGCUCGAUCACUGCACCAACUGCCAACGCGAAUGUGGGGCAGGGCGUCGGCGCCACAACCUCCACUGCACACGAGCCCGCGUACUCGUACGACGAACUCCUCUCGAAGCCGUGGUCCGCCGUGCGUGAGGUGAUGCACUACAGCGCAGCCGCGUUCCUGGAGGCAGCUACUGCGGCCGCGCAGCCCGUCGUGUUCCGCAACGUCCCUCUUGGCUCGUGUCUGUCCAACUGGGGCUCCUCAGCGUACUUAAAAGAGGCCGAAGGGAACUCUACGGUGUCGGUGCACGUGAGCGAGGGGUCGCCGCGGCUGGACUUUGUGCGCAAGAACUUUGCCUUCCGUCACGUGACGCUAGCGCAGCUGGUGCAGCACGUCGAGGACGCGACAAAGCGCUUUCGCACGACCCGUGGGACGCCAAGGGAGACGUGGUACUACCGCUCCGUUGCGGCUCACAUGAAGAACGAGCGCUCCAACUUGUGGACGGACUUCCCGGCACUGGGCACGGACUUUGUGCUACCACCUGGCGCGAAGGAGUACAUUGGGCCACGGCUGCAUCAGUCCUGCUUGCGCAUGAGUGCCCCGCCGCUGCAGCUUUGGACGCACUAUGACGCGCUGGACAACGUCCUCUGCCAAAUUGUCGGCACGAAGCGUGUGGUUCUGUUCCCGCCGAGCGAGUACAACAAUCUGUACGUGACGGGCAGCUCCUCGGCGGUACUGAAUGUGGACGCGCCGGAUCUCGUGCGCUACCCUCGCCUUAUUGCAGCCUGCAAAGCAGCGCAGGUGGUUGUCCUGCAACCAGGCGACAUGCUCUUCAUCCCUGCGAUGUGGUUUCACCAAAUUACGACGCUGUUGCCGGACGCGGAGGCCGCGGAGAGUGCUGAAGGGACGGCGAUGGCCCCAUAUAACAUGAGCGUCAACGUCUUCUAUCGCCAUUUCAGCGACACGGCCGUCUACGAUCCGAAGGACCUCUACGGGAACAAGGACAUAUUGGCAGUGACGCGCAUUCGCCAGGACCUGCAAUCGGCUGUGUGCGACGUGCUGAGCAAGGUGCGUCUCACACCGGCCAUCGACGCCCCACACGUGCCGUCCAACUACGUCGAGUUCGCGGUGCGGCAUUUUCUGCAGGACCUAGAAAGGAACGUGGCAGCGGUGGCAGAUGCGCAGCGCGGCACGUGAACGUUCCUUGACACUCAGACGCCUGGACGGCGGUCGUUGCAGAAGAAGAAGAAGGGAGGCACCGCCACCUCGUCACACGCUGGACCGCACUCCUCCCCGUGUUCCUCUGCCGCAUGGCCUCGCUUCGUACUCCUCGCGCUGUACCUCUCUCCGCCGUCCCCUCUCCUUUCUCGGCGUGUUAAAUUAAGCAAAGGCCAAUGACGUCAACGUUUAAGACGGUGUCCUCUUCUUGUUUUGCGCCGGUGUCGGUGGCUGUUGUUGCGUCGGUAUGGAGAGGAGACUCCUUCCCCUCUCCCCCUCUUCCCAGCUCUUUGUCUCUCCCUCCCUCCCUCCGAGCACGCCCAUGCCUGGGGAGCCGACGUCCUUCGAAGCGGAAAUGAGAACUGAGAUGACAAAAGACGUCGACCCACGUGUGGCUGUCCAUGGGAGGCUAACCGACGGUACAUAGACGCCUCUACCCGCCACGUCGAUCUCUUCGUCGUCUCCGGCACUGUACAUCGACAAGCCAUCGCUCUCGUCGCUUGUAUGUGCCUCUGCACAGAGCCGGCCUGACCUUCCAUCGGCUCCUUCUGCUUAGACUUCUAGGUGAUGCCUGCACACGCCGUCGUCUGUAAAUGCAUGCGCGCGGGGGUGCUCGUCGGCGUGUGAAUACAGCUCCCUACCUUCUCGUCCCGUUCUGGCACAUUUGUUUCUCCCCUCCCUCUCUCGCUGUCGGCUCACACGUGUCUCUCUGUCUCAAUGCUCACUCCAG
RNAcentral lists this unclassified non-coding RNA (4668 nucleotides) under Leishmania donovani. RNAcentral's name for it is "gene:LdHU3.35.3860(CDS-product:Leucine_carboxyl_m ethyltransferase/Cupin-like_domain_containing_protein_putat ive)". The record is from RNAcentral. Lineage: Eukaryota; Euglenozoa; Kinetoplastea; Trypanosomatida; Trypanosomatidae.